UACAGAGAGUGCGAACAUUGUUCGGAAUUACUGGGCUUAAAGAGUACGUAGGCGGCACAACAAGUGUCAGGUGAAAUCCCACGGCUUACCCGUGGAACUGCCUGGCAAACUGUUGAGCUAGAGUGUGGUAGGGGAGAACAGAACUCAUGGUGGAGCGGUGAAAUGCGUAGAUAUCAUGAGGAAUACCGGUGGCGAAGGCGGUUCUCUGGUCCACAACUGACGCUGAGGUACGAAAGCUAGGGUAGCGAACGGG
Molecule: ribosomal RNA, 253 nt
Filed under: uncultured bacterium
Lineage: Bacteria
Description: partial 16S ribosomal RNA
Rfam family: Bacterial small subunit ribosomal RNA
Source: RNAcentral